This 279-nucleotide unclassified non-coding RNA is filed under the name plant metagenome. RNAcentral describes it as "partial contains small subunit ribosomal RNA, internal transcribed spacer 1, and 5.8S ribosomal RNA". The record is from RNAcentral.
UUUCCGUAGGUGAACCUGCGGAAGGAUCAUUACCGUAUUAAAUAUGAUUGGCCUGCUAUGACUGUCCCUGACCUUAAAGCCGUGCACCCCCGAGUGUGUCCUCUUGCAUGAUAAUCCAUCUCACCCUUUGUACAUCACCGCGUGUUUACCCUUCGUGAUCUUCUCGUAGGAGGGCUCACGAUUUCACACAAACCCCCCUGUUAAAAUUGUAGAUUGACCACAUCUAUGCAAUCAAUACAACGUUCAACAACGGAUCUAUUGGCUUUCGCAUCGGUUAAA